This 76-nucleotide transfer RNA is filed under the name Maritalea porphyrae. Its description in RNAcentral is "tRNA-Asn". It matches the Rfam family "tRNA". From Rfam's summary of the family: Transfer RNA (tRNA) molecules are approximately 80 nucleotides in length. Their secondary structure includes four short double-helical elements and three loops (D, anti-codon, and T loops). The record is from RNAcentral. RNAcentral also lists the same sequence under 1 other name. Lineage: Bacteria; Pseudomonadati; Pseudomonadota; Alphaproteobacteria; Hyphomicrobiales; Devosiaceae.
UCCCCGAUAGCUCAGUUGGUAGAGCAAGCGGCUGUUAACCGCUUUGUCGCAAGUUCGAGUCUUGCUCGGGGAGCCA